Molecule: long non-coding RNA, 748 nt
Organism: Dreissena polymorpha
Lineage: Eukaryota; Metazoa; Mollusca; Bivalvia; Myida; Dreissenidae
Exons: 3
Source: RefSeq, a predicted model, not a curated record
UACCAGCUGUGUGUUAGACGAAACGAAAAUGCUUUGGUUUUGCAUCGUGUUUUGAGACUGUCUGGUGACAUGAUGGAUUAAUUGCUGUUUGACUGACAAUAAAUGAACAUAUGUGUGUGUUUGGAGAUUGCUGAGGUUAAUAUCUUCACAAUUGGGAAAACCCAACAUAAGUUGACUGCCAGUCUGACCACUGAUCUGCAUAAUAUCAGUGGGAGAGCAUGCUGAAUCCCGCAGCUUCUGCACCAUAUGUUUCCUGGCCGAGUGGUUGAAAGUUGCGACCACACAUUCCAUGGGUGAUGAUAUCUACCAAAAUUCUUGGCGGCACAGUUCUACCCUCGUCAGUUGCACUGGUCUGAGUCUUUCUCUGCCUCUCAACCAACUCGAGAUAUUCCCCCCCCCCAACUUCAUCCCGGCACAGCUUCACAUCAACCCAUCUAAUUAAUUUGUCGGAAAGGUUGACUACACAAAUUUCCUGUUUGGUUGUGGAGAUAGAACUAUUUUUUUGUGAAAGUUUGAUUUCAGACACUUAAAAAUUGAAAUUGUCAUGUAUUAUUAGGCAUGGCAGGCAUUAGCAAAGCAUCUCAAUCAAGUAAUUAUUAUUUUACUUUGUUAAUGUUAAUUCAUUGUGUAUGCUAUUCACCUGUUUACCUUGCUUUUUAUAAGAAUGACACAAAAAAGGAAAGCAUUUGUAAAGUAUUAGUUUUUUAAAAAUAUAAUCUUAGACGAGAUGUUUAGUGAAUAUUUGUCA